This 253-nucleotide ribosomal RNA is filed under the name uncultured bacterium. RNAcentral's name for it is "partial 16S ribosomal RNA". It matches the Rfam family "Bacterial small subunit ribosomal RNA", at positions 524 to 776 of the family's 1533-position model. The record is from RNAcentral.
UACGUAGGGUGCGAGCGUUGUCCGGAAUUACUGGGCGUAAAGAGCUCGUAGGUGGUUUGUCGCGUUGUUCGUGAAAACUCACAGCUCAACUGUGGGCGUGCGGGCGAUACGGGCAGACUGGAGUACUGCAGGGGAGACUGGAAUUCCCGGUGUAGCGGUGAAAUGCGCAGAUAUCGGGAGGAACACCGGUGGCGAAGGCGGUUCUCUGGGCCUGUACUGACGCUGAGGAGCGAAAGCGUGGGGAGCGAACAGG